Symphalangus syndactylus (siamang) is the source of this 431-nucleotide long non-coding RNA. RefSeq lists it as uncharacterized. The record is from RefSeq and is a predicted model, not a curated record. NCBI's taxonomy places the organism in Eukaryota, Metazoa, Chordata, Mammalia, Primates, Hylobatidae.
UACAAGAGAUGUUAAUGUAAUUUACUUAGGAAAUACAGGAGAGAGGUUUGGAUGAAAAUGUAAUUAAAAUUUUAACUUGUAGUUUUCUCUAUAUAGAUUUCUAAUAGGCAGUUGGAGAAAUGGGUUUGGAGCUCAAGAAAAAGUCUGUGUUGCUGCAGCAUAUAAUUGGUUUUAAAGCCAUGAGAGGAAAGCUGACAUUUAGGUGGACUGCAAAAAGGGAGGAAGAAAAAAGACACAAAAAGAGAGGCCUGGAAGGCAAUGCUCCCACAAACCAGUGAGAACAAUGCGAAAUUUGAGACCAUGAUUUUGGAUCACCUUGACACCGAAAGCCACAGAGAAACACCUCCAUCUUCAAGGGCUUACAUUCCAGGAUGCUAUUCCCCUGGCUCAGAGAGAAUGCUUUAAGUUGUGCUCUGAGCACCCGAGAGAAA